RNAcentral lists this transfer RNA (61 nucleotides) under Praticolella mexicana. RNAcentral describes it as "tRNA-Leu". Lineage: Eukaryota; Metazoa; Mollusca; Gastropoda; Stylommatophora; Polygyridae. The record is from RNAcentral.
UAUAAUUUGGCAGAAUAUAUGCGUUUGAUUUAGGUUCAAAAUAUAACUUUAUGUUAAUUAU